GAAGAUGAAGCUCAGUGGUGGGGCACAUGCUUUGCAUGUAUUAGGUUUAGGGUUCAAUCCUCUGCAUUUCUA
This is a non-coding RNA of Ameiurus melas (black bullhead), 72 nucleotides long. The record is from the annotation of a GenBank genome assembly. NCBI's taxonomy places the organism in Eukaryota, Metazoa, Chordata, Actinopteri, Siluriformes, Ictaluridae.